UUGUACACACCGCCCGUCGCUCCUACCGAUUGAAUGGUCCGGUGAAGUGUUCGGAUUGCUGCGACGUGGGUGGUACGCCGCAUGCGACGUUGUGAGAAGUCCACUGAACCUUAUCAUUUAGAGGAAGGAGAAGUCGUAACAAGGUUUCCGUAGGUGAACCUGCGGAAGGAUCAUUGUCGAGACCCUGAUAGAUCAGAGUGACGGGAGAACUUGUCACCUAGCGCGUGCAAGGGACCGCAUUGUUUUAACAAGUCUGCCUGUUGUCGUUCAUCCAAGGGCGCAACGGAAUGACAACCUUCCCUGGGCCAUGUUCAGCGCCAAGGAAAGAUUUUGAGUAAGUAGGGAGAGAUGUUUUUACCCCAUGCUUUACUCGUAUGCAUCGUAGCAGGGGAAAGAGCUGCUUCUCCAAUUCAUAGAGUUUACAUGACUCUCGACAACGGAUAUCUUGGCUCUUGCAUCGAUGAAGAACGCAGCGAAAUGCGAUAUAUGGUGUGAAUUGCAGAAUCCCGCGAACCAUCGAGUACUUGAACGCAAGUUGCGCCUGAGGCCAAGCGGUUGAUGGCACACCUGCCUGGUUGUUGUCGUAUGCUGUUUCGCUCCUGUAUUUGCUUGCCGCGGAAAUCAAUCGUUUGAUGGCAUGAGCAGGGGAUGUUAAGAGGUUGGCCCCCUGUCUGUAGGUGCGGUGGGUCGAAGAGAUUGUUCCUAUCGGUCAGUUUGGGAUCAGACAUAGGGGGUGGAUGGUGGAUUAGAACUAACCAUUGUGGCCCAGUAUGGUCAUGGUAACCUUACCAGUAAAAGAAGCAUUGGAUUAACAACUCUGAGAACAUGAGAAUUGCCGUGCAGGUGCUGGAGUUUGCUCUCAUUUUGUGACCCCAGGUCAGGCGGGGACACCCGCUGAGUUUAAGCAUAUCAUUAAGCGGAGGAAGAGAAACUUACAAGGAUUCCCCUAGUAACGGCGAGCGAAUCGGGAUCAAGCCCAGCAUGGAAAUCCGGCCAACA
Molecule: ribosomal RNA, 999 nt
Filed under: Neuwiedia veratrifolia
Lineage: Eukaryota; Viridiplantae; Streptophyta; Magnoliopsida; Asparagales; Orchidaceae
Description: eukaryotic LSU rRNA
Rfam family: Eukaryotic small subunit ribosomal RNA (bases 1-176)
Source: RNAcentral